CUCUGGUUGCCAUAGUAACCUUCCUUUUCAGCUUUGCCUCUCAUUUUCUUCGAUUCAUCUUCUGGGGAAAGAACAAGAAGAAAGAGGUCAUCAGAUCAGAAGCAGGGAGGCCACCCUCCCACUGAUCAGCUAUGUGAUCCUGGCUAGAAAUACCCAGGAACAAAGAGGCCAUGUUACUAUGCCCUAUAAAGGUGUUUGAGGCUGCGGUGACAGAGACCACCAGCAAGCAAGGGGAAAAGGGUUUCAAGAAGGAAAGAAUUAAGGAAGAUGUGCACAUUACGCCCCAAGAAAUACACAGGCACAUCUAACUACAAGGGAAGCCAGAAAUGUGGUCUAGAUAUCUGCCCAGGGCAAAGGGUAAUUGUUUGCGGGAACACAACACCAGUCUUUGCCACAGAUGCAGACAAAAACAGUGAACUGGAAGGAACAUUUUAAAGAUGGCAGGGCCACAAGAUGGGAGGAGCCUGGAUCCCUGAGUCACUGCUGGAAGGAGAGCCACCCACCCAUGGGAACACCUAAUAAAGUUAUAUGUGAGCAAACAAUGACCUCCCUUGUGUCUGAGUCAUCCUAUCUUUAUGACUUUGUUACAGCGUUAUUCUAACCAAUAUGCUACCUCCUAGGGCUACGCUGGGGAUGAAAUGAGUGAAAAUAUGUACUGUUCUUAGAUGACAGCUUAGAAAAUAGUACAUAAACA
This 694-nucleotide long non-coding RNA is filed under the name Equus caballus (horse). RNAcentral describes it as "lncRNA (ENSECAG00000041301.2)". Lineage: Eukaryota; Metazoa; Chordata; Mammalia; Perissodactyla; Equidae. The record is from RNAcentral.